This 829-nucleotide unclassified non-coding RNA is filed under the name Hevea brasiliensis (rubber tree). Lineage: Eukaryota; Viridiplantae; Streptophyta; Magnoliopsida; Malpighiales; Euphorbiaceae. The record is from RNAcentral.
UUCAAGGCCAAUUCUAAGCUUAAAAGCAUUAUAACAUCCUCUUGCAUCUUACUUUACUAAAUUCACUUUCAAAAAUGGAAUCUCUGGUCCCGGAAUCCGGUGUGAACAACCCAUGCAGCAGAAUAAGAGUAUAGUUGACGCACUAUACAAGGCAUUAGCACAAGGUCACAUGGAUACCGUGGCUAAAUUCCUAGCAAGUGGUCUAGAGUGGUGGUUCCAUGGCCCUCCACAACGUCAGCACAUGAUGAGAGUGCUGACCGGUGAGGUAACUCACAAUGACUUCAGAUUCGAGCCACGAAGCAUAGAGGUUAUCGGCGAUUGUGUGAUUGCAGAGGGCUGGGCAGGUGCACAAGUAUACUGGGUGCACGUAUGGACCCUGAAAGGUGGUCUUAUUACGCAAUUUAGGGAGUAUUUUAACACAUGGCUCACUGUGAAGGACACUAGCCCAAAUCGUAGGGAAAUUGGGGUAGAAAGCCGCCACACCUUGUGGCAGAGCCACCCCAGAGACCUUUCUAGCCGUUCGCUACCCGGCCUUCUUCUGGCUAUUUAAAGAGCCUGUGGCUAGUGGGUCAUGAAAUUGUUCUAGCUGCCUAUAAAACUCUAAUGAAUAUGGAAAUUUUUAUAUGCUAUAUUUUAUGUCUCGCUUUUAUGCAUGAAAGUGUAGCAGUCUGUCAAGGCAUGCGCAUGGCGUGGUGUUUUAUUUCUGCAAAUAAUUUUAUGGUGGGUUUUUUGGCUGGAAGCUAAGAGAAAAAUGGCACGGAGAUGCAGAGAAGGAAUAGAACGUUGACAGUGAAAUAAAAAAUUAAAUCUUACUUUUAAGCUUCGUUUG